CAGUCGCCGCGGUAAAACGAAGGGUGCGAGCGUUAAUCGGAAUUACUGGGCGUAAAGCGUGCGCAGGCGGUUGUGUAAGACAGGUGUGAAAUCCCCGGGCUUAACCUGGGAACUGCGCUUGUGACUGCACAGCUAGAGUAUGGCAGAGGGGGGUGGAAUUCCACGUGUAGCAGUGAAAUGCGUAGAGAUGUGGAGGAACACCGAUGGCGAAGGCAGCCCCCUGGGCCAAUACUGACGCUCAUGCACGAAAGCGUGGGGAGCAAACAGGAUUAGAGACCCCUGUAGUCCCUGUCUCUUAUAC
RNAcentral lists this ribosomal RNA (301 nucleotides) under uncultured bacterium. Its description in RNAcentral is "partial 16S ribosomal RNA". It matches the Rfam family "Bacterial small subunit ribosomal RNA", at positions 509 to 807 of the family's 1533-position model. The record is from RNAcentral.